AACGAACGCUGGCGGCGUGCCUAACACAUGCAAGUCGUGCGAGAAAGUUCCUUCGGGAGCGAGUAAAGCGGCGCACGGGUGAGUAACACGUAGGUAACCUGCCCCCCAGUCUGGAACAACUAGAGGAAACUCUAGCUAAUGCCCCGGAUGAGACCACGAUCCCUUCGGGGGUUGCGGCCAAAGAUGGCCUCUACUUGUAAGCUAUCGCUGAGGGAUGGGCCUGCGGGCCAUUAGCUUGUUGGUGAGGUAACGGCUCACCAAGGCUGUGAUGGCUAGCUGGUCUGAGAGGAUGACCAGCCACACUGGGACUGAGACACGGCCCAGACUCCUACGGGAGCAGCAGUGGGAAUAUUGCGCAAUGGGCGAAAGCCUAGACGCAGCGACGCCGCGU
Molecule: ribosomal RNA, 391 nt
Filed under: uncultured bacterium
Lineage: Bacteria
Description: bacterial SSU rRNA
Rfam family: Bacterial small subunit ribosomal RNA
Source: RNAcentral